UACGAAGGGGGGCUAGCGUUGCUCGGAAUCACUGGGCGUAAAGCGCACGUAGGCGGCUUUCUAAGUCAGGGGUGAAAUCCCGGAGCUCAACUCCGGAACUGCCUUUGAUACUGGAAAGCUUGAGUUCGGGAGAGGUGAGUGGAACUGCGAGUGUGGAGGUGAAAUUCGUAGAAUAUUCGCAAGAACACCAGUGGCGAAGGCGGCUCACUGGCCGUCGA
Molecule: ribosomal RNA, 218 nt
Filed under: uncultured bacterium
Lineage: Bacteria
Description: partial 16S ribosomal RNA
Rfam family: Bacterial small subunit ribosomal RNA
Source: RNAcentral